Molecule: ribosomal RNA, 394 nt
Filed under: uncultured bacterium
Lineage: Bacteria
Description: partial 16S ribosomal RNA
Rfam family: Bacterial small subunit ribosomal RNA
Source: RNAcentral
AUACGUAGGGAGCGAGCGUUGUCCGGAAUUACUGGGCGUAAAGGGCGCGUAGGCCGUGUUAUAAGUUAGUUGUAAAACGUGUGGGCUUAACCCGCAUUCGCAACUAAAACUGUAACGCUAGAGGCAUAGAGAGGCAGACGGAAUUCCUGGUGUAGCGGUGAAAUGCGUAGAUAUCAGGAAGAACACCGGUGGCGAAGGCGGUCUGCUGGCUAUGAACUGACGCUGAAGCGCGAAAGCCAGGGGAGCAAACGGGAUUAGAUACCCCGGUAGUCCUGGCAGUAAACGAUGUAUGCUGGGUGUGGGCGUAGCGAUACGUCCGUGCCGAAGUUAACGCGAUAAGCAUACCGCCUGGGGAGUACGGUCGCAAGAUUGAAACUCAAAUGAAUUGACGGGG